AAAUUGAAGAGUUUGAUCAUGGCUCAGAUUGAACGCUGGCGGCAGGCCUAACACAUGCAAGUCGAGCGGAAACGAGUUAUCAGAACCUUCGGGGGACGAUAACGGCGUCGAGCGGCGGACGGGUGAGUAAUGCCUAGGAAAUUGCCCUGAUGUGGGGGAUAACCAUUGGAAACGAUGGCUAAUACCGCAUGAUGCCUACGGGCCAAAGAGGGGGACCUUCGGGCCUCUCGCGUCAGGAUAUGCCUAGGUGGGAUUAGCUAGUUGGUGAGGUAAGGGCUCACCAAGGCGACGAUCCCUAGCUGGUCUGAGAGGAUGAUCAGCCACACUGGAACUGAGACACGGUCCAGACUCC
RNAcentral lists this ribosomal RNA (352 nucleotides) under Vibrio parahaemolyticus. Its description in RNAcentral is "bacterial SSU rRNA". It matches the Rfam family "Bacterial small subunit ribosomal RNA", at positions 1 to 339 of the family's 1533-position model. Lineage: Bacteria; Pseudomonadati; Pseudomonadota; Gammaproteobacteria; Vibrionales; Vibrionaceae. The record is from RNAcentral.